AUUGAACGCUGGCGGCAGGCUUAACACAUGCAAGUCGAGCGGGGUGAUGGUGCUUGCACUAUCACUUAGCGGCGGACGGGUGAGUAAUGCUUAGGAAUCUGCCUAUUAGUGGGGGACAACAUCUCGAAGGGGAUGCUAAUACCGUAUACGUCCUACGGGAGAAAGCAGGGGAUCACUUGUGACCUUGCGCUAAUAGAUGAGCCUAAGUCGGAUUAGCUAGUUGGUGGGGUAAAGGCCUACCAAGGCGACGAUCUGUAGCGGGUCUGAGAGGAUGAUCCGCCACACUGGGACUGAGACACGGCCCAGACUCCUACGGGAGGCAGCAGUGGGGAAUAUUGGACAAUGGGGGGAACCCUGAUCCAGCCAUGCCGCGUGUGUGAAGAAGGCCUUAUGGUUGUAAAGCACUUUAAGCGAGGAGGAGGCUCUUUUGGUUAAUACCCAAGAUGAGUGGACGUUACUCGCAGAAUAAGCACCGGCUAACUCUGUGCCAGCAGCCGCAGUAA
RNAcentral lists this ribosomal RNA (503 nucleotides) under uncultured bacterium. Its description in RNAcentral is "partial 16S ribosomal RNA". It matches the Rfam family "Bacterial small subunit ribosomal RNA", at positions 30 to 523 of the family's 1533-position model. The record is from RNAcentral.